GGCAAAGACAGAGAGCAUUGUGGGAACUACAGGCCAAUAUCGCUAAUCAAUUGCGACAUUAAGCUACUGGCCAAGAUCCUGGCGGUGCGCCUCACCAAGCAUAUCCCAUCUCUGGUCCACCCUGACCCGGUGGGAUUUGUGACAGGACGCGAGGCACGCGACAACACCAUCAGAGCGCUCACACUUAUGCACGGAGGUGGGGGCACAGAUGGAGGCCUUCUCUUGUUGUCCACGGACGCAGAGAAGGCCUUCGACAGAGUGAGCUGGGAUUACCUCUUCGAAACGCUAUCCCACAUGGGGCUGGGUCCCCACACGCGACGCUGGAUAGAGGCGCUAUACCAAGCACCGACGGCCCAGGUGCUAGUUAACCGG
Non-coding RNA from Pelobates cultripes (western spadefoot toad), 372 nucleotides. Lineage: Eukaryota; Metazoa; Chordata; Amphibia; Anura; Pelobatidae. The record is from the annotation of a GenBank genome assembly.